GCCCGAUAGCUCAGUCGGUUAGAGCAGGGGAUUGAAAAUCCCCGUGUCCUUGGUUCGAUUCCGAGUCCGGGCACCA
Molecule: transfer RNA, 76 nt
Filed under: Escherichia coli
Lineage: Bacteria; Pseudomonadati; Pseudomonadota; Gammaproteobacteria; Enterobacterales; Enterobacteriaceae
Description: tRNA-Phe
Rfam family: tRNA
About the family: Transfer RNA (tRNA) molecules are approximately 80 nucleotides in length.
Source: RNAcentral